GAGACAGAAAGAGGCUCAAACCUGGAUCCGGAGCCUCUGCUGCCUGAGAAGAGAGGAGGGGAAAAAAAAAACACUCCCACCCUCACACACAUACAUACACUCUGCCGCUGUAAUGUUAUUAGAGCUACAGAGCGGAUCACUCUGGUCUCUUCUGCUCUCUCUCUUUUCUCUUCAGAAAUUAAAGCAGAGCUGCAUCUGAGAGUGGAAAAGGUCCCCCUUCUGCUGAGUCUGAAGAAUCACUGUCUGAGGAUCAUCUAGAGGAACUGCCCCCUUCAUAAACUUUAUAACAUUCUUGGAUGCUGUGGAACCUGGCUGCU
This 317-nucleotide long non-coding RNA is filed under the name Gopherus agassizii (Agassiz's desert tortoise). RNAcentral describes it as "lncRNA (ENSGAGG00000018459.1)". Lineage: Eukaryota; Metazoa; Chordata; Testudines; Testudinidae. The record is from RNAcentral.